Hydra vulgaris (swiftwater hydra) is the source of this 715-nucleotide long non-coding RNA. RefSeq lists it as uncharacterized. The record is from RefSeq and is a predicted model, not a curated record. Lineage: Eukaryota; Metazoa; Cnidaria; Hydrozoa; Anthoathecata; Hydridae.
AUCGAAGAAGCUUUUUUUGGUGUUUAAGUUUCAAACUUUAGUAUGCUUAUGCUUGUAUCAAAUAAAGCUUUUGCUUUUAGCAAAAUAUUUCAUCUUUCCCGAAAUGAGGAAGAAAAUGUUGGAAUUAAAAUGUUGUGUCUAAACAAACGCCAACUUUGUGGAAAUACUACACCAAGGUUAAUGUAUCAAGUUUUAAGUAUGGUGAAUGUAAAAAAGGUCUAAUCCAAACCAAAUAAACUGUUUGAUCCAUUUGUCGUAUCGAGUAUUACGUGAAAAAUAAAAUAUCCCUCUGAAAACACUGAUAAGAGCCAGCGUUUAGUUCUAAAGAACUGAAAAGUUUAAAGAACCUACUAUCAAGCAGGAAAAUGCAUAUGAUGAACCAUGCUUCAAGGAAACGGUAGCAUUUAAAUCGCAAAAUGAGUGUAAAGCAUAUCACUGCGCUUUCAAGGUUCAAGUUGUCAUUUAAUAAAAAAGAAGUUAGCAGUUGUCAUCAGGGGGCUGUUAUCACUGAUGAUUAUAUAUCUAGGUCAGAGGAUCUUUUUGUAACUCUAACACUUCAUUAUUUCAACGACCAGUUUAUGAAGAAAUGAAGAAAUAUGUGAGUAACUUGGCAACUUUUUUGGGCAAACCCAUUGGAUACCACAUAGCAAGACAAGUUUUUUUAUAAAUUGUGUAAAAGUAAUUUAAUUUUCGUAAAAAUCAAAUUUCGUAUAAA